UGGGGAAUAUUGCACAAUGGGCGCAAGCCUGAUGCAGCAACGCCGCGUGAGGGAUGACGGCCUUCGGGUUGUAAACCUCUUUUAGUAGGGAAGAAGCGAAAGUGACGGUACCUGCAGAAAAAGCACCGGCUAACUACGUGCCAGCAGCCGCGGUAAUACGUAGGGUGCGAGCGUUGUCCGGAAUUAUUGGGCGUAAAGAGCUCGUAGGCGGUCUGUCGCGUCUGCUGUGAAAACCCGAGGCUCAACCUCGGGCCUGCAGUGGGUACGGGCAGACUAGAGUGCGGUAGGGGAGAAUGGAACUCCUGGUGUAGCGGUGGAAUGCGCAGAUAUCAGGAAGAACACCGAUGGCGAAGGCAGUUCUCUGGGCCGUAACUGACGCUGAGGAGCGAAAGCGUGGGGAGCGAAC
Molecule: ribosomal RNA, 406 nt
Filed under: uncultured bacterium
Lineage: Bacteria
Description: bacterial SSU rRNA
Rfam family: Bacterial small subunit ribosomal RNA
Source: RNAcentral